Paramormyrops kingsleyae is the source of this 559-nucleotide non-coding RNA. The record is from RefSeq and is a predicted model, not a curated record. Lineage: Eukaryota; Metazoa; Chordata; Actinopteri; Osteoglossiformes; Mormyridae.
UAUAUAUACAUAAAGUCUGUUUAUUGCCUUCAGUAUUGGUUUGCCCGGACACAGCCGUGAAUGCACCGCCACCUGGCAGAGGGCGUAACACCAGCACGCAUCAGGUUCAGUCCCAGUGCCUCCAUUCUGGCCCGAAUCCGGGCUCUACAGGCUACCCAGAACACCUGAAAGACCCGGAUUGGGGUGGAGAUGGGAGGCGCGCGCUGGGUUCCGUGACAUUCUCGUGCCGCUCGUAAAGCGGGCUGGGCCGGAGUGCUUCAACUACACGAAGCUCAACACUUUGUUUUGUGAGGAGUCAGCGCUAAUCAGCACCAGCAGCUACCGCCGCUGCGAAGCCUGGACGCCUCUCAAAGUGUGUGAUGCAUGCUGGAUGGCGCCAUGCCCUGCCGCAUCAUGGGAGUCGUGCAGCCUUUUGGCAUGUGAAAGGUUACUGCCCAGCAUUAAUGAGGUCCAGCAGGGGACGGCGUGGGUCGGUUGUCCUGAUGAAAGCCCCGAGGCUGAGGGGGCGGGGCUUUCCUGAGUUGCCGAGCAAAUCCGCAGAGCUCCAAGGAGGGUGGGC